This is a long non-coding RNA of Oncorhynchus tshawytscha (Chinook salmon), 539 nucleotides long. The record is from Ensembl. NCBI's taxonomy places the organism in Eukaryota, Metazoa, Chordata, Actinopteri, Salmoniformes, Salmonidae.
GGCAAUUAGUUGUCAUGGUGCGGCAGCUGCAGUGAUCUCUCCUUCUCCGAAUAUUGGAUUAGAAAAAGUGGAUUUUCGAUUCGUGUGGCUAUUAGCAAUGAUUGCAUGAGAUUAUUCCUCGGGUUCCUGAGUGGCGCAGCGGUAUAAGGCACUGCAUCUCUAGUACUAGACGCGUCAUUACAGACACCGCGAUUUGAUUCCAGGCUGUGUCACAACUGUCCGUAAUUGGGAGUCCCAUAGGGCGGCGCACAAUUAGCCCAACGUCGUCCGGGUUUGACCGGUGUAGGCCAUCAUUACCUAUUUAAUCCAGGCUGAAUCACAUCCGGCCGUGAUUGGGAGUCCCAUAGUGUGGCGCACAAUUGGCACAGCGUCGUCCGGGAGCGCUGUGCUAGGCAUCUGUGGGAGAAUCAUCACGCCCUGAGCAAGAGUGUGUGUGCUGCACGUGGUCGCUGGAGCGAGACACACUCCAAUGCUGAUGUUAGCCGACAUUCCCCUCAGGCCAGAGAAUGGAGCAUGCGUGGAGACAGUUGUCCCCCCCC